RNAcentral lists this transfer RNA (72 nucleotides) under Pteropus alecto (black flying fox). It matches the Rfam family "tRNA". From Rfam's summary of the family: Transfer RNA (tRNA) molecules are approximately 80 nucleotides in length. Lineage: Eukaryota; Metazoa; Chordata; Mammalia; Chiroptera; Pteropodidae. RNAcentral also lists the same sequence under 1 other name. The record is from Rfam by way of RNAcentral.
GAUUCCAUAGUGUACUGGUUAGCACGUCUGCUUUACAUGCAGAAAUUCUGGGUUCAUGCCCCAGUGGAGCUA